Molecule: ribosomal RNA, 205 nt
Filed under: uncultured bacterium
Lineage: Bacteria
Description: partial 16S ribosomal RNA
Rfam family: Bacterial small subunit ribosomal RNA
Source: RNAcentral
CAUGUAGGCGGCCUAUUAAGUCGGGCGUGAAAAUGCGGGGCUCAACCCCGUAUGGCGCCCGAUACUGGUGGGCUUGAGUGCAGGAGAGGAAAGGGGAAUUCCCAGUGUAGCGGUGAAAUGCGUAGAUAUUGGGAGGAACACCAGUGGCGAAGGCGCCUUCUGGACUGUGUCUGACGCUGAGAUGCGAAAGCCAGGGGAGCGAACG